CGUAGGUAACCUGCCCAUGUGUCCGGGAUAACUGCUGGAGACGGUAGCUAAAACCGGAUAGGUAUACAGAGCGCAUGCUCAGUAUAUUAAAGCGCCCAUCAAGGCGUGAACAUGGAUGGACCUGCGGCGCAUUAGCUAGUUGGUGAGGUAACGGCCCACCAAGGCGAUGAUGCGUAGCCGGCCUGAGAGGGUAAACGGCCACAUUGGGACUGAGACACGGCCCAA
Molecule: ribosomal RNA, 225 nt
Filed under: uncultured bacterium
Lineage: Bacteria
Description: partial 16S ribosomal RNA
Rfam family: Bacterial small subunit ribosomal RNA
Source: RNAcentral